This is a non-coding RNA of Colletotrichum fioriniae, 94 nucleotides long. Lineage: Eukaryota; Fungi; Ascomycota; Sordariomycetes; Glomerellales; Glomerellaceae. The record is from the annotation of a RefSeq genome assembly.
GCGGUUGCUUUCGUAGCUCAAUUUGGUCAGAGCGUCCGACUUUUACGAGUAAAAGAUCAUCGGAAGGCUGUGGGUUCGAGUCCCACCGAUCGCG